RNAcentral lists this ribosomal RNA (329 nucleotides) under uncultured bacterium. RNAcentral's name for it is "bacterial SSU rRNA". It matches the Rfam family "Bacterial small subunit ribosomal RNA", at positions 28 to 334 of the family's 1533-position model. The record is from RNAcentral.
GACGAACGCUGGCGGCGUGCUUAACACAUGCAAGUCGAACGGAGAGACAUGGAAGCUUGCUUCUAUGAAUCUUAGUGGCGAACGGGUGAGUAACGCGUAAUCAACCUGCCCUUCAGAGGGGGAUAACAACGGGAAACCGUUGCUAAUACCGCAUACGAUCUAACCUCGGCAUCGAGGAUAGAUGAAAGGUGGCCUCUAUUUAUAAGCUAUCACUGAAGGAGGGGAUUGCGUCUGAUUAGCUAGUUGGAGGGGUAACGGCCCACCAAGGCGAUGAUCAGUAGCCGGUCUGAGAGGAUGAACGGCCACAUUGGGACUGAGACACGGCCCAA